AAGGACCGAGUUCAUUGAUGACAAUAGGAAGGAGCAGCCCUGGCAGUGGAAGAGUAAAUCCUAGAUAGUGUGAAUGACAGCCAUGUGCAGGAACAUGAGGGAAGGCAUGUGUGACUGACAGGCCAACUGUGUCAGGGAGCCAUCAGACAGAGGGUCAGCAGCCAGUUAAGUAGCAUCUUACACGUUGUGAUAUGGAAAUUUGGAGGUUAUUCCAAGUUAUGAUGGGACCAUCUGAGGCUUAUAAGCAGAAGAUCAAACUAAAUAAAAUAGCUUUGGCUGAGGUGUGAUUAGUGGGAAAAGGCAGAGAGAGUAGCCCUUGGAAAGGGCUCUGUUGCAACCCAAACUAAAAAACAAAGAAAGGUGAGCAGAAUCAGUAGAAUGGGAGAUGGCUUAAGAUCUGAAAGCAAAAAUAGCAGGACUUUGCGUAUGUUUACAAAAGGGGCACAGAAGAAAAUAAAGUCUAACUUUUGUCCCUCAACUUGGAGACUAUUAUGGCAAAUGAAACCAAUCAUAUUUCCACCAGGUUGACUGGAUAAAAAAAAGGGAGGGAGGGAGAUUAUUCUCAGGGUAGGGAAAAAAUGAAGACAAUCACAUAGGAGAGCACGUAAGGAAAUGUUGCUUUUAAACUGUGGACUCUAAAAGGUAUCAGAGGGCUUGCCUAGAAUUCUUGACAGGAGAGUGUGGCUGGACAAAUACCGUAUCUGCAUUAUAGGGGAGACCAAGGGGGCUAGAGAAAGGAAGAGGGUGAAUCUGUCUAACAUUCACCGGUUUGAAACCUAUUUAUGUCGCUGGUGGUGUGAGCACUUAACGUGGUGGGUCCCUGUCACGGUGCAGCGUACCGGCGACGGGAAGCCUCGCAAGUAGGUCUCAUUUGGAAGCCUUCAUCUCGAACGACCCCUCGGAAACAAACGUGGUGGCUCCGAAUCAACCCCGUCCGCGGGGUGAUCGCCGCGUGAAGUCGAGUCGAGAAAGACUUCGGCGGAUCCCUCAACUUCGUCACCUCCAGACGCUCCCCGGCUCCGCGGCCCAGGACGGCCGGUCAUUUUUCUCCCGGGAUCGGGAGGCUGGAAGCUCGCAGGCCCCCUAGCGUCCAACCGUUCAGCGCGGAGGCCCCGGCUCGCGCCCGCCCGCCACCCCGUGCACCCACCCAGCCACCCGCCGGACGCCGCGACCCGGGUCCUCCCGCGGACCGCAGACCCCCCGAGACCCCGCCCGGGCAGCCCGCGAGAGACGCCGCCGCCCCGCCUCCCGCCCGCCCUCCCGCGCGCGCCAACUCCCAGCGCCGCGCGCUGAUUGGCCGGCGCCUUCCCGCUCUGCUUCCCGAACCGCCAUUUUGAAAAUCUUGUUGAUUCUGAGGAGCGGGGAGAGAGAGAGCGCGAGAGAGAGCGAGCGCGCGGCGCGAGGACCUCGGCCCCGCGCGACUUCUACACAGCGGCGGCCUUCUCGUGCGCACCCGCGGCCCCCAGCAUGUCGGCGGCGGCGGCCCCCGCUGCGGAGGGAGAGGACGCCCCCGUGCCGCCCUCAUCCGAGAAGGAACCCGAGAUGCCGGGUCCCAGGGAAGAGAGUGAGGAGGAGGAGGAGGAUGACGAAGACGAUGAUGAAGAGGACGAGGAGGAAGAAAAAGAAAAGAGUCUUAUCGUGGAAGGCAAGAGAGAGAAGAAGAAAGUAGAGAGACUGACGAUGCAAGUGUCUUCCUUACAGAGAGAGCCAUUUACAGUGACACAAGGGAAGGGUCAGAAACUUUGUGAAAUUGAAAGGAUACAUUUCUUUCUGAGUAAGAAAAAACCAGAUGAACUUAGAAAUCUACACAAACUGCUUUACAACAGGCCGGGCACAGUGUCCUCGUUGAAGAAGAACGUGGGUCAGUUCAGUGGCUUUCCAUUCGAAAAAGGCAGUACCCAGUAUAAAAAGAAGGAAGAAAUGUUGAAAAAGUUUCGAAAUGCCAUGUUAAAGAGCAUCUGUGAGGUUCUUGAUUUAGAGAGGUCAGGCGUGAACAGCGAACUCGUGAAGAGGAUCUUGAACUUCUUAAUGCAUCCAAAGCCUUCUGGCAAACCAUUACCAAAAUCCAAAAAAUCUUCCAGCAAAGGUAGUAAAAAGGAACGGAACAGUUCUGGAACAACAAGGAAGUCAAAGCAAACUAAAUGCCCUGAAAUUCUGUCAGAUGAGUCUAGUAGUGAUGAAGAUGAGAAGAAAAAUAAGGAAGAGUCUUCGGAAGAUGAAGAGAAAGAAAGUGAAGAGGAGUACAACCUUUCUGCUGUGAGGACAGAAUUCUGGCUCUGUGACAGGCAUCUUUUUUGGUGACCCUUCUUCAAGAGCCCUGCUGCCUAUAACAGAUAGCAACCACCAAAAAAGACAUCUAAAAAAGAAAAAGCAAAACAGAAAGCUACUGCUAAAAGUAAAAAAUCUGUGAAGAGUGCUAAUGUUAAGAAGGCAGACAGCAGUACCACCAAGAAGAAUCAAAAAAGUUCCAAAAAAGAGUCUGAAUCUGAAGACAGUUCUGAUGAUGAACCCUUAAUUAAAAAAUUGAAAAAGCCACCUACAGAUGAAGAGCUAAAGGAAACAGUGAAGAAAUUACUGGCUGAUGCUAACUUGGAAGAAGUCACAAUGAAGCAGAUUUGCAAAGAGGUAUAUGAAAAUUAUCCUGCUUAUGAUUUGACUGAGAGGAAAGAUUUCAUUAAAACAACUGUAAAAGAGCUAAUUUCUUGAGAAGCGGACAGAUGGCUUGUUCUCAGAUUUGAAGAUCUGAUUUUAUACCAGCAAAGAGAAUGUAUUCUUUUUUAAGGCUAUUGUUGGUAGAACUUGCUGCUGACUCUUUUGCGUGUUAACAUAUUUGAGCUUGUUUUAAAUUGUAUUUUCUUGUAGUUUUCAGUUUAAAUCUUGCAUGGCAGUAAUCGUUCCUUGCUUUUUAUAGUUGUACAUUUUGGGUUUCUUUAUUGUAAGGUCACAGAUUCCUGAACUAUUGUGAAUUUUAGUGAACUUAAUGUUAGCUUGCUUAAGACAUUACUUUUAAUCAAAGCAAAAACUAUUAUAACCAGCAUUUAUAUGUGCAAAGACUAUUGCAGUAUUUAGUAUACAAAAUAUUUUGAAUACGCCUUCUGUCAGUGUGAAAACAUAGCGGCAGUCUGUUCAUCAUAGGGCACAGCUGUUCAGAUGACCGAGUCGGAACCUUUUCUGCAUGUGUAUAUACGUCAAGUUGUUGGCAUGACAGAAGUGACAGAUGUUAUUUUUGUAUUUUUAAAAACCAAUUUGUUGUAUAUAAUUUUUUUAUUUCUUUUGUGCAAAUCAAUUUUUUAAACUCUUGUGUCUUUAAACUUGUAACUAAAUGUCAGUGUUCAUCCAGGCAGCAGUGACAGCGCAGAGUUCAGUGGUGAUGGCACUGAGGACUGUCCAGUUCUGCUUUGCCCUCAAAGUGUCAUCAAUGUGGUUGUGUUAACUCUAAGUGUCAUAGAAAUUUUAUAAUGAGGAUAAACACAUCACAGCUUCAAAAACUGGGAAGGCGUGAGCACACAUGGAUUUAUAUAUAAGUGAACUGACAGUAGUAAACUGUUGACCAUAUAAAUAUAUUAGAUACAGGAAACCUGGUUACCUUCAUAAUUAUGAUUAAAAGCAUCAAGUGUAACCAGAGUUGGUGUGGACAACAUAGGUAUCUCUGAAAGUAUUUAUCAAAAACCAUACAUUAAUAUUGAAGUAUUACAGAAUCAAGGCUGUUUGAUUUUUAAAGUGAUGAAACAUGGACUGCCCCUUAAAUUUUGACUGUCCUAAAAACCUAUUUCUGAUUUAUAAUAUGCUGCCUGAUAAAGUGACACUAGAUGUACCAGCUGAGUGUUUAAUCUUCCCAUCACAGAUCAGAUUUGAGCAUUAACAGGUAUUUUCACAUACUUGACUUCAAUAUGCUUAAAGUGAGGAACAAGCAAUUAAGUGGGGACUAAAAAUGUUGGCCUUUAAGCAAUUUGUCAUAAAUCUUCACAAUAAAGAAUAAAUCAAUGUUUUAA
Molecule: RNA transcript, 3992 nt
Organism: Mus musculus (house mouse)
Lineage: Eukaryota; Metazoa; Chordata; Mammalia; Rodentia; Muridae
Gene: Dek
Gene name: DEK proto-oncogene
Exons: 12
Source: RefSeq, marked validated